RNAcentral lists this ribosomal RNA (500 nucleotides) under Alternaria sp. BAB-5515. RNAcentral's name for it is "eukaryotic LSU rRNA". The record is from RNAcentral. Lineage: Eukaryota; Fungi; Ascomycota; Dothideomycetes; Pleosporales; Pleosporaceae.
CUCUCGGGGUUACAGCCUUGCUGAAUUAUUCACCCUUGUCUUUUGCGUACUUCUUGUUUCCUUGGUGGGUUCGCCCACCACUAGGACAAACAUAAACCUUUUGUAAUUGCAAUCAGCGUCAGUAACAAAUUAAUAAUUACAACUUUCAACAACGGAUCUCUUGGUUCUGGCAUCGAUGAAGAACGCAGCGAAAUGCGAUAAGUAGUGUGAAUUGCAGAAUUCAGUGAAUCAUCGAAUCUUUGAACGCACAUUGCGCCCUUUGGUAUUCCAAAGGGCAUGCCUGUUCGAGCGUCAUUUGUACCCUCAAGCUUUGCUUGGKGUUGGGCGUCUUGUCUCUAGCUUUGCWGGAGACUCGCCUUAAAGUAAUUGGCAGCCGGCCUACUGGUUUCGGAGCGCAGCACAAGUCGCACUCUCUAUCAGCAAAGGUCUAGCAUCCAUUAAGCCUUUUUUCAACUUUUGACCUCGGAUCAGGUAGGGAUACCCGCUGAACUUAAGCAUAU